RNAcentral lists this ribosomal RNA (253 nucleotides) under uncultured bacterium. RNAcentral describes it as "partial 16S ribosomal RNA". It matches the Rfam family "Bacterial small subunit ribosomal RNA", at positions 524 to 776 of the family's 1533-position model. The record is from RNAcentral.
UACAGAGGUGGCAAGCGUUGUUCGGAAUUACUGGGCGUAAAGGGCGAGUAGGCGGCCUUCUAAGUCAUACGUGAAAUCCCUCAGCUUAACUGGGGAACUGCGUCUGAUACUGGUUGGCUUGAGUGCAGGAGAGGAACGCGGAAUUCCCGGUGUAGAGGUGAAAUUCGUAGAUAUCGGGAGGAACACCAGUGGCGAAGGCGGCGACCUGGACCGAUACUGACGCUGAGACGCGAAAGCGUGGGGAGCAAACAGG